Molecule: ribosomal RNA, 1551 nt
Filed under: uncultured bacterium
Lineage: Bacteria
Description: bacterial SSU rRNA
Rfam family: Bacterial small subunit ribosomal RNA (bases 1-858)
Source: RNAcentral
CGUGUAGCAGUGAAAUGCGUAGAUAUGUGGAGGAAUACCGAUGGCGAAGGCAGCCCCCUGGGAUAAUACUGACGCUCAGACACGAAAGCGUGGGGAGCAAACAGGAUUAGAUACCCUGGUAGUCCACGCCCUAAACGAUGUCAACUAGCUGUUGGGGCCGUUAGGCCUUAGUAGCGCAGCUAACGCGUGAAGUUGACCGCCUGGGGAGUACGGUCGCAAGAUUAAAACUCAAAGGAAUUGACGGGGACCCGCACAAGCGGUGGAUGAUGUGGAUUAAUUCGAUGCAACGCGAAAAACCUUACCUACCCUUGACAUGUCUGGAAUCCCGAAGAGAUUUGGGAGUGCUCGCAAGAGAACCGGAACACAGGUGCUGCAUGGCUGUCGUCAGCUCGUGUCGUGAGAUGUUGGGUUAAGUCCCGCAACGAGCGCAACCCUUGUCAUUAGUUGCUACGCAAGAGCACUCUAAUGAGACUGCCGGUGACAAACCGGAGGAAGGUGGGGAUGACGUCAAGUCCUCAUGGCCCUUAUGGGUAGGGCUUCACACGUCAUACAAUGGUCGGGACAGAGGGUCGCCAACCCGCGAGGGGGAGCCAAUCUCAGAAACCCGAUCGUAGUCCGGAUCGCAGUCUGCAACUCGACUGCGUGAAGUCGGAAUCGCUAGUAAUCGCGGAUCAGAAUGUCGCGGUGAAUACGUUCCCGGGUCUUGUACACACCGCCCGUCACACCAUGGGAGUGGGUUUCACCAGAAGUAGGUAGCCUAACCGUAAGGAGGGCGCUUACCACGGUGGGAUUCAUGACUGGGGUGAAGUCGUAACAAGGUAGCCGUAAAUGAGAGUUUGAUCCUGGCUCAGAUUGAACGCUAGCGGGAUGCUUUACACAUGCAAGUCGAACGGCAGCACGAGAGAGCUUGCUCUCUUGGUGGCGAGUGGCGGACGGGUGAGUAAUAUAUCGGAACGUGCCUAGUAGCGGGGGAUAACUACUCGAAAGAGUGGCUAAUACCGCAUACGCCCUACGGGGGAAAGGGGGGGAUCGCAAGACCUCUCACUAAUUAGAGCGGCCGAUAUCGGAUUAGCUAGUUGGUGGGGUAAAGGCUCACCAAGGCAACGAUCCGUAGCUGGUUUGAGAGGACGACCAGCCACACUGGGACUGAGACACGGCCCAGACUCCUACGGGAGGCAGCAGUGGGGAAUUUUGGAAAUUGGGGGAAACCCUGAUCCAGCCAUCCCGCGUGUAUGAUGAAGGCCUUCGGGUUGUAAAGUACUUUUGGCAGAGAAGAAAAGGUACCUCCUAAUACGAGGUACUGCUGACGGUAUCUGCAGAAUAAGCACCGGCUAACUACGUGCCAGCAGCCGCGGUAAUACGUAGGGUGCAAGCGUUAAUCGGAAUUACUGGGCGUAAAGCGUGUGUAGGCGGUUCGGAAAGAAAGAUGUGAAAUCCCAGGGCUUAACCUUGGAACUGCAUUUCUAACUGCCGAGCUAGAGUAUGUCAGAGGGGGGUAGAAUUCCACGUGUAGCAGUGAAAUGCGUAGAUAUGUGGAGGAAUACCGAAUGG